RNAcentral lists this transfer-messenger RNA (351 nucleotides) under Phycisphaerales. RNAcentral describes it as "GCA-2711415 sp002711415 Standard tmRNA". It matches the Rfam family "transfer-messenger RNA". From Rfam's summary of the family: Bacterial tmRNA, also known as 10Sa RNA or SsrA, is named for its dual tRNA and mRNA-like properties. Its role is to liberate the mRNA from a stalled ribosome. To accomplish this part of the tmRNA is used as a reading frame that ends in a translation stop signal. The record is from RNAcentral. RNAcentral also lists the same sequence under 1 other name. Lineage: Bacteria; Pseudomonadati; Planctomycetota; Phycisphaerae.
GGGGCCGACCUGGAAUCGACCGGACAGGGAAGGUGCGUCGUUGCGCGUCGUGGAGCAUCCUGGCCACGUAAAAAGGAUGCAAACCAUAACUGCCAACCCGCAGUACGCUCUCGCGGCCUAAUAUCGUCGCGCAAUCCAUCUCCAGAUGCCUGAUACGGAGAUGGAUUGAAAAACAUCAGGCUGGUUUCAAAGGGCUGGCAUGCCCUGGAGAAACGAGAAAUUCGCAUGCCUGGAUUUCACUGCGUGCUGUCGCCCGCAUUGGUGGAAUCGAGAUUCAAGUGGCGACUACACGUGUAGACGCGGCGCGCUGACUGUAUCGGCACGGGGGUUCGAAUCCCCCCGGCUCCACUG